Molecule: ribosomal RNA, 572 nt
Filed under: Salmonella enterica subsp. enterica serovar Typhimurium
Lineage: Bacteria; Pseudomonadati; Pseudomonadota; Gammaproteobacteria; Enterobacterales; Enterobacteriaceae
Description: bacterial LSU rRNA
Rfam family: Bacterial large subunit ribosomal RNA
Source: RNAcentral
GGGUUGUGAGGUUAAGCGACUAAGCGUACACGGUGGAUGCCCUGGCAGUCAGAGGCGAUGAAGGGCGUGCUAAUCUGCGAUAAGCGCCGGUAAGGUGAUAUGAACCGUUAUAACCGGCGAUACCCGAAUGGGGAAACCCAGUGUGAUUCGUCACACUAUCAUUAACUGAAUCCAUAGGUUAAUGAGGCGAACCGGGGGAACUGAAACAUCUAAGUACCCCGAGGAAAAGAAAUCAACCGAGAUUCCCCCAGUAGCGGCGAGCGAACGGGGAGGAGCCCAGAGCCUGAAUCAGCAUGUGUGUUAGUGGAAGCGUCUGGAAAGGUGCGCGAUACAGGGUGACAGCCCCGUACACAAAAGCGCAUGUGCUGUGAGCUCGAUGAGUAGGGCGGGACACGUGGUAUCCUGUCUGAAUAUGGGGGGACCAUCCUCCAAGGCUAAAUACUCCUGACUGACCGAUAGUGAACCAGUACCGUGAGGGAAAGGCGAAAAGAACCCCGGCGAGGGGAGUGAAAAAGAACCUGAAACCGUGUACGUACAAGCAGUGGGAGCACAGGUUUACCUGUGUGACUGCG